Long non-coding RNA from Leopardus geoffroyi (Geoffroy's cat), 1043 nucleotides. RefSeq lists it as uncharacterized. Lineage: Eukaryota; Metazoa; Chordata; Mammalia; Carnivora; Felidae. The record is from RefSeq and is a predicted model, not a curated record. The transcript is spliced from 2 exons.
AUGGAGGUAGUGCAUCCAGUGCGAUGUUUCGUAGAAGGGACAGCCGGCUUCCUUCUCUUCUUUGGUUUUCAGCUGGAAUACCUCUGGACUGCCCCAGUACGCAUUUUGAGCUGAGUGCUGCAGGGUCCUGAUGAUCAUGGAGUAGCAGAACAGCAUGGUGCCCAAGGGGAUCACCAACCCCAGAAUGUUGAUCUCCAGGGAGCUCAGCACCUUCCACGUCGUGGAGUUGAGAGAGUACUUGGUUUUGCAGUAGGUGUGGUUGCGCUCCGUGUAACAGGUGCUGAAUAAGAAGCCUGGAAGAGAGGCCAGCACGGCCACGGACCACGUGGCCAAGCUGGUGAUGACCCCGUAAGUCAAGGUCCUCGCUCUCAAGGAAAACACCGCGUGCACUAUCGCCAGGUAUCUGUCGAUGCUCAUGAGCAUGACGAAGAAGAUGCCACUGUAAAAGCCCACCAAGUACAUCCAGGAAAUAAUCUUGCAGAGACCCAGUCCAAAAACCCACUGGUCUGCAGCAUAGUAGCCCCAGAAAGGGAGGGAGAACACGAAGAGCAGGUCUGAGAUGGCGAGGUUGAGCAGGUACACGUCAGUCAUGGACUUGAGCCUCUUGUACUUGAACAAGACCAAAACUACCACAGAAUUGCCCAGGAGACCGAACAGAAAGACCAAGGAGUAGAGAGGGGGCAGGAAGAGCCCCCCGAACGCCUUGACGCCUUCUUUGGUGCAAGGCUUGGGGAUGUUUUCAUAGAGAUAGUAAUUGUGAUAGAUGCUUUCAUCCAUGGUGGUGUCUGCUGUGUCCGUGGGGUUCAUUUUCAAAUCUCCAGGCUCCUCGACGCAGGUCUGAGCCCAACCAGAAGCUAAUGAGGGAAGAGCAGACGCGAUCUCUGUAGAAACAAAAGCAAAUCGAAAAGGUGCUGACUACAGAGCAUAGCGCUGAGUAUUGUGCCCCGGCUCAUGACACCCCCUUCCCAGCCUUCCCAAGUUGAAGGGCUCUGUUCCUCGCAGGGCAGUGCAGCCAAAUAAAACAAUCCUGCUGUUUGGAGUUA